RNAcentral lists this ribosomal RNA (326 nucleotides) under uncultured eukaryote. Its description in RNAcentral is "partial 18S ribosomal RNA". It matches the Rfam family "Eukaryotic small subunit ribosomal RNA", at positions 1470 to 1796 of the family's 1831-position model. The record is from RNAcentral.
CCCUUAGAUGUUCUGGGCCGCACGCGCGCUACAUUGAUGCAUUCAACAAGCCUAGCCUUGACCGAGAGGUCCGGGUAAUCUUUGAAACUGCAUCGUGAUGGGGCUAGAUUAUUGCAAUUAUUAAUCUUCAACGAGGAAUGCCUAGUAAGCGUGAUUCAUCAAAUCGCGUUGAUUACGUCCCUGCCCUUUGUACACACCGCCCGUCGCUCCUACCGAUUGAAUGUGUUGGUGAGGAGCUCGGAUUGGCAGCAGUUGGUGGUUCGCCACCGGCUAUUGCUGAGAAGUCCUCCAAACCGCNCNAUUUAGNGGAAGGAGAANUCGUANCA